Molecule: RNA transcript, 2499 nt
Organism: Entelurus aequoreus (snake pipefish)
Lineage: Eukaryota; Metazoa; Chordata; Actinopteri; Syngnathiformes; Syngnathidae
Exons: 2
Source: RefSeq, a predicted model, not a curated record
CCUUGCCCGUAUGUGGGCUCUGUACCGAGGAUGUCGUUGUGGCUUGUACAGCCCUUUGAGACACUUGUGAUUUAGGGCUAUAUAAAUAAACAUUGAUUGAUUGAUUGAACUAGUAUAUCAUGCAAAAGCGCAGAUUCCAACCAAUCAGUCCAUCUUAGAUGAGCUCGGGCCGAGCGAAGCCAGCGGCGUUUCUGGGUGUUGUUGCAUUUAUCAACAACACCCAGAAACGCAGAGUUUUGAGGACGAAAAUGAAUUGAUACCAUUUUAGAAUAAGGCUGUAACAUAGCAAAAUGUGGCAAAAAAUGAAGCGCUGUGAAUACUUUCCGGAUGCAGUGUACAGUAUAAAGGGCAGAUCAAUAGAAGUGAUAAUUAGACGUUGCAGUUCAUGGGUGGGAUGUGAGAGAGGGUCACUGCCUGAGGAUACAGACGAGCUGUUGGCAAGUUGUCCUGGCACGUAUAGACCUGUUCCUUCUACCUGAGGGCCGCAGGUGAGGAGCAGGGUGUUGUUGGUCACGCAGGAUGCUGUGCACUCGCCUCAGACAGCAGGUAGUGUAGACUGUGCCCAUCUCUGGAAGACUUGAUUUUUUGUCAGCUGUUUUAAUCACCGAUUAGAGAGUCUGCUGUCAUGGCACACUUAUAAAAGCUCACUCUUACACUAGGAAGCGGAGUCAUUCAUUGCGCUUUACCUGACACAUGAAACGUGACAAAUACGAUCGCUGAGAUGAAACGGAUCAGGCCCGUGAACAGGUUCUAUCCAGAUGAAUUUGCUAAGUAUACAAAUGAGCUGAAAUUUUUCUAUGAAAGAAACUGCUGUUUUAAAUGUGUCCACUAGAUGUGGCAAUGGCAAUUCUUUGUAUCUUUGUAGAUGAUGCUACAUACAGUAUGUACAAAAAAAAUAAAACACAUGAUGUUAGUGCAAUAGUCGAAGAAAAUUAGCAAACUACAUAAAUAACAUCCUGUAAUUUGAUUUUGAUAUUUUUUUUUUAUCUUGUUAGAUUGAAAAUGAACCCCAAUGAGUUGACUGAUGAACAUUAUCACGUCAUUUAUUCAGAAAGUAUAAAUAACGACAAUUAAAGGUAGAACACUAUUAACUGCAACAUGUAAGUGUAAAAAAAACAACACGAUUUGUUUAUUUUUGAGAAAUUCUAUUUUUAAACAAAGAAAACAAUCUGAAGUUGUCUUUAUUUUUAAGUUAUCGUGCCGUGAUUUUACCAGUCCGGCCCACUUGGGAGUAGAUUUUUCUCAAUGUGGCCCCCGAUCUAAAAUGAGUUUGACACCUCUGGCCUAGAUAAAUUGGUAAACAUCCUCACAAAUAUUGAUAUAAAGCAUUACCGUAUUUUCCGGACCAUAGGGCACACCGGAUUAUAAGGAGCACUGCCGAUGAAUGGUCUAUUUUUGAUCUUUUUUUCAUAUAUAAGGCGCACCGGAUUAUAAGGCGCAUUAAAGGAGUCAUAAUAUAUAUAUUUUUUUCUAAAUGUAAAAGACUUCCUUGGGGUCUACAUAACAUGUAAUGGUGGUUCUUUGCUCAAAAUGUUGCAUAGAUGAUGUUUUACACAUCAUCUUCAAGCCGCUUCCGGGUGCGCCGUUUUGUGGGCGGUCUUAUUUACGUGGCUCACCUUCGGCAGCGUCUUCUCCCCGUCAUCUUUGUUGUGAAGUGUCAAAAGAUGGAGCUAACUGUUUUAAUGACAUUCAGACUUUACUUCAAUCAAUAACGGAGCAGCAUCUCCUCAUCCAGAAACAACAACACCAGAAAUGUGUCCCGUGAAAAACCGUCCGACCAGAACUCUAAUAACUAAAGUUCCUUGGGUGAAUAAUGGUAACUCACUACACCGGUAUGUUUUAGGGCUUUCAUGGCGAGUUUACUGACUGAAAUAAGUAAUAACUUUACACUGCUUUUUAUUAGAAAUGGCAACAGCAGAGGAUGGAUGUCCCAUAACAAGAAGGUGGAGAAAAAGAAGAAUCUUAUCGACUACGGUGUCGGCACGGACUACAAAGGCGGACCUGCACAAUAUUUCAGUACCUCCGUGUCUCCGCAGUGAGCCGUGCGCCUCACCUGCCGAUCUUCCCCCUGGACUCUGACUGCCUUCCUCGACCCCCGCACUCGGACCUGGACUUCUGGACGCCUCUCUCCUGCCCCCACGGACCUCGCUCGGAUCACGAACCUCUUUUGCUUCGCCCCUCUGGACUUGUUUGCUGCCACAACCAACACACACUUACAAUAACCUCUGGUAACUUAUAUUUGGUUAACUUCUACACAUAGCCCUGCAUCCACACACAUAGUAGCAUACACACCCUACGUAAUCAUCAAGCUCAAAUAAAACCCGUUGAGCUAGACCUCCUGCUGUCGUACCGUCUCCUUCCCCCUUCGUCUUACGUAACAGUACCGGUACCAAAAUGUAUUUUGAUACUUUUCUAAAAAAAGGGUACCACAAAAAAUUGCAUUAUUAGCUUUAUUUGAACAAAACAUCUUAGUGUACAUGAAACAUAUGUUUAUUAUUG